AUUAAUGCAGGAGAUAAGAAAGGAGUCACACCACUUCUUGUAGCAGUUCAGCUUGCCAAACAUGAAACUGCUGUUUAUCUCGAAGAGAAAUGUGCCAGGGGUAAUGCAAAAGGUAUGAAUGGAGUCACUCCACUUCAUGUUGCAAUUCAGCAUGCCAAAAUAAAACUGUUGAGUAUCUCAUAGGGAAACAUAAUAAUUAUAAUGAAGCUAAUGAAUUUAUUUA
Molecule: long non-coding RNA, 223 nt
Organism: Haliotis rubra (blacklip abalone)
Lineage: Eukaryota; Metazoa; Mollusca; Gastropoda; Lepetellida; Haliotidae
Exons: 2
Source: RefSeq, a predicted model, not a curated record